This is a long non-coding RNA of Mus musculus (house mouse), 944 nucleotides long. RefSeq annotates it as predicted gene, 32754. The record is from RefSeq and is marked validated. The transcript has 4 exons. Lineage: Eukaryota; Metazoa; Chordata; Mammalia; Rodentia; Muridae.
UCUACAAAGCAAGCCCAGACGAUUCCCAGAAGUUUCUUCCAGACCACUGCAGCUAAGCUGACAAGCGCUAGAUGCAUCUAGUUUUGAAACGUCACUGCUUUCUCAAAUCAUCCUUAUAGAAGCUUAAAUUACAUGAGGUGACAUUUGAGCCAAAACCAGAGAAGCAGACAUCAACCCAAGACUUAGAGGAGAGUUCCUUCAGUGUGAAGGUCAGUGGAGCUGGUGAAUUAAAAGAAAAAAAGAAUGUGAUCUUUUAAAAACAGCAUUUUUGCAGAUGAUCAAAUCAAGAUGGAACAUUUGAGGUAGGAAGUAAUGUAACAUGACUGAUGUCCUUGUUAAACUGACUGAGCACAGAGGCCAUCGUUGUGACAGAACUGGCCUAUGUAGCAAGAAUGUGAACACUGGAAUUAGUUAGUUCCAACAUGCAACUACAUGCCCCUAAGGAAAGAAGAUGGCAGCUCCUUUCUCCACGGUGCUUCCUGGAAGAGGAUGUUUGGCUGAUGUGGAUAUUUUGAACUUCCUGCCUGCAGAAUCUUGAGACAAUAAAUUUCUUGUGUUUUGAUCACCUGGUUUUUCCUACUUUACUACAUCAGUGCUGGGAAGACGCUUUGUAAGAGUAAUAAAAUGAUCAGUGAAAAUAUGAAAAGCUGCACUAUCAUUAAACUUUGAAUUAAAACGUAACACAUUAUUUUCAGUGAUUAGGGAUUUUUAAAUGAGAUUACCUCCAAAUGGGCACUCUUAACACUGUGAGCAGGAGUGCAGCUUGCUAGACUUAAUGCACAUAAAGAUACACUUAAUGUAUUGUAGCACUUAACACCAUGAUUGGUAUAUUGUAAGAACACAGUAAGUGAUAGCUGUAAUAAAUGGUGUAAUUAUACAUCUGUAUUAAAAUUAUACAUGCUAUAUAAUGAUUGUGGUAGCAAUAAAGUACCUCUAGAUGGAAA